RNAcentral lists this long non-coding RNA (266 nucleotides) under Medicago truncatula (barrel medic). RNAcentral describes it as "long non-coding RNA (MTRU_LNC005509)". Lineage: Eukaryota; Viridiplantae; Streptophyta; Magnoliopsida; Fabales; Fabaceae. The record is from RNAcentral.
UCAAGUAGCCCGAAAACCCGAUUUUUUACUAAGAACAUGUAACAAUGACCCAAAACAGAAGGAUGAGAGUUAUGAAGAUUAAUAUUGUUCCUAAAAUGACUAUCCAUGUUACAAACAUGUUUAGAAUUUGUGCUGAUACAGUUCGGAUUAUAUAAUUCAAACUGUUUUACCUUGAAAAAGGGUGUUUAGGGGGUUUCCGGAUUAUGUAAUCUGAAACAUCAUGUAACACGCCCUAUUUUUUGAAGUUUCCAUAUUACAAAAUCCGG